RNAcentral lists this small nuclear RNA (55 nucleotides) under Cervus elaphus hippelaphus. The record is from RNAcentral. Lineage: Eukaryota; Metazoa; Chordata; Mammalia; Artiodactyla; Cervidae.
AUCACUUCUCGGCCUUUCUGCUAAGAUCAAGUGUAAUAUUAAUUUUAAUGUUUAA